RNAcentral lists this ribosomal RNA (653 nucleotides) under uncultured bacterium. Its description in RNAcentral is "bacterial SSU rRNA". It matches the Rfam family "Bacterial small subunit ribosomal RNA", at positions 232 to 884 of the family's 1533-position model. The record is from RNAcentral.
CGCGGCCUAUCAGCUUGUUGGCGAGGUAACGGCUCACCAAGGCAACGACGGGUAGCUGGUCUGAGAGGAUGGCCAGCCACAUUGGGACUGAGAUACGGCCCAGACUCCUACGGGAGGCAGCAGUGGGGAAUCUUGCGCAAUGGCCUAACGGCUGACGCAGCGACGCCGCGUGUAGGAUGAAGCUCUUCGGAGUGUAAACUACUGUUGCCCGGGACGAAUAACUCGAUUAAUCGAGCCUGACAGUACCGGGUGAGGAAGCACCGGCUAACUCCGUGCCAGCAGCCGCGGUAAUACGGGGGGUGCGAGCGUUGUCCGGAAUCACUGGGCGUAAAGGGCGCGUAGGUGGUUUGAUAAGGGUGUGGUGAAAGUCCGGGGCUCAACCCCGGAUCUGCCGUGCCGACUGUCAAACUCGAGGACUGUAGAGGCAGACGGAAUUCCGGGUGUAGCGGUGGAAUGCGUAGAGAUCCGGAGGAAGACCGGUGGCGAAGGCGGUCUGCUGGGCAGUUUCUGACACUGAGGCGCGACAGCGUGGGGAGCAAACAGGAUUAGAUACCCUGGUAAUCCACGCCGUAAACGAUGGGUACUAGGUGCCUGGGGGAGCGACCCUCUGGGUGCCGGCGCUGACGCAGGAAGUACCCCGCCUGGGGAGUACG